Gasterosteus aculeatus aculeatus (three-spined stickleback) is the source of this 462-nucleotide long non-coding RNA. The record is from Ensembl. Lineage: Eukaryota; Metazoa; Chordata; Actinopteri; Perciformes; Gasterosteidae.
UGAACAGGUUACUAUGUAACAUGUUAGUUACACGGUGAACCGGCUACUAUGUAACAUCUUAGUUACACAGUGAACCGGCUACUAUGUAACAUGUUAGUUACACGGUGAACCGGUUACUAUGUAACAUGUUAGUUACACGGUGAACCGGCUACUAUGUAACAUCUUAGUUACACAGUGAACCGGCUACUAUGUAACAUGUUAGUUACACGGUGAACCGGUUACUAUGUAACAUGUUAGUUACACAGUGAAACGGUUACUAUGUAACAUGUUAGUUACACGGUGAACCGGCUACUAUGUAACAUCUUAGUUACACAGUGAACCGGCUACUAUGUAACAUGUUAGUUACACGGUGAACCGGUUACUAUGUAACAUCUUAGUUACACAGUGAACCGGUUACUAUGUAACAUCUUAGUUACACAGUGAACCGGCUACUAUGUAACAUGUUAGUUACACGGUGAACAG